RNA transcript from Daphnia pulex (common water flea), 3594 nucleotides. RefSeq lists it as uncharacterized. The record is from RefSeq and is a predicted model, not a curated record. The transcript has 5 exons. NCBI's taxonomy places the organism in Eukaryota, Metazoa, Arthropoda, Branchiopoda, Diplostraca, Daphniidae.
AUUGAGUUCCUGAUGGGCGUGAUGGCUACUAAUUUAUUUAGUGGCCCUGUCGAUAAAAAGCAACAGUAAGCCUGAGGCCAAAGGAUAUAAUGUACCUACAUGACCUAUCUUUUUUAGCUUUAACAGAGAACGGACCUUUUAUACUACAUCAAAAGAAGUAAAACCCGGUGGCUUAUAGACCAUAAGAAUAGCAUCUGAGUAGGCCUCAAAAUGCAACCAGCUCAACGGGACUAAUUCUUUUGCGAUUGACCAUAGUUGGUUACCAUAUACCAUGAACAUUGAGCAGAAAUUUCACUACCUGUAGUCGAUAAAGCAACGACGCAAUAUGCAGGUAGGUAGGCUAUUUUCAUAUUAUCCCUAUAGUUGAUAUCUAUUUGUUUAGAUUGGAUAAACAAAUCCAUUACAUCCAAAUGACCUUGUAAUAAGGCAUAAUGCAAAAGCGUAUACUAUUGCUGAUCAACAACAUCAAUCCGGGCUUAUAAAGAAGCGAUUUCAAGUAGUUUUACCAAUUUUGUAUACCCUUCCCUAGAAGCCAUAUGCAGCAGUGAACAUUUAAAAUAGUUUUCAUGUUCUUUGUAAAUCAGUUGCUCAUUAGGGUCACUCCUAGGAAAUAUUUGACAACAACUGCUACAUUGUUGAUUGGGUUGUGCAUCCAUUCUUUUAUAAACAGAUGAUGGAACGGCAGAACAAUCCUCUUGUACAUUGAAAGGUGGAGAAUUUGUAUUAGAAAUAGUUCUUCUUACAAGAGGCUACCAAAAAAGGAUGGAACAAACCAGACGGGUAAAAAGCUAGAACUUUUCGAUUUAUAUGUGCCAUAUACAUACCUGUUUAAUCAUUAGAUUUUUUGCAUCAUUCUACCUCUGCUUAUAAUUUGGGUUUCAAAACUUGCCUUACAGAAAAAAAUGCUGCAAAAAGUCUUUCAUAACUGAAAAACAAGAAACUGUAUAGAGGAGAAGUUAUUACAACAUACCCUCUCUGGGAUACUAGAUACGAAAAAAUAAUCAAAUAGCCUUAAAUAGUAUAUUUUUUUCUUUUUUGGGUAUAAUAGUCUUUAAAAGUAGAACGAUUCAAUGUUUUUGCCAGGUAUUUUAAAAAGUUUCCCCCAAUGGCCCCAUCUAUGAUGCGGUGAUCAUAGGUAUGGGAUAAAAACAUUUCAUCACGAAUGGCUAUGGUCUCUUUCCCUUGAACAUCGACUACAGCGGGCCUCCUUUCAAUAGCUUUCAAUAGACUUAAAUGGCCACUUGUGGUUGAACGAUAAUGGAUGUACCCCUUAGGUUAUCGAAAGAGCCAAUAUUGGAAAAAGGGUAUAACUACCUCCAUUUAGCUCAUCGCCCGUAAGGCUACCACUCUGUGCUCUUUUAAUUAAGGCAUCUAUUUGUCUUGCUAGGGCAACGAAAUCCAAUGAUUCUACCUGAUUGACUACAGGAACGAUCAUUUUACCAUAUUGUAGAGCUACCGCAAAACCAAUAAUCGUCUUCAACGAUGGUAUUGAGUAAUGGAAAGGCUUGCAAAGCACGUGCCGUUACAGCCAUACAAAUAGGAAAAUAGGUUAAGUUCAGAUAACAUUGAAUUUUGAAAGCCUCUUUAACUUGUUUUCUCCAAUAAGCCACUAUAUCGGUUACAUCUAACCGUAUAAAAGAGGUCACACGGGGAGCUAUUCUUUCAGAUCCAACCAUGCGAUGGGCAAUCAACUUUCUUACACGAUCCAUCGCUAUGACUUGGUCUCCUUCCCAUGAGGCAACUUCAGGCAGGUAUUUAUUCCAUAGUUACAGGAAUAAUUGUAUAAUUUAGAUGAUGAGGAAAAGAGAUGGUAAUAUGAUGAGAUUAUGACAUGAGAUUAUAGAUGAUGAGAAGAGAUGAUAGAUUAUGGGAUUAUUAUUGAUAAGCCCGUUUUGUCAGCAUAAAGAGAGACGUUCUACGAAACCUAAGGGCGGGACGAAGUGGAGGAGUUUGAGGUGAUUUCGAACGAUUCUUUAUGUAUUUAAAAUUUACAUUAUGUUAAUCCGUUAGCUAGACAAUUCCACGCAUUUUCAAAUGCUAUUUACACGAAGAAAAUUUACCUCAUUUACAGCCUACCGUCUUAGAUCCGGCCAUGGUUUUGCAACAAGCGAUGAUAGAUGCUGAUUAAUUAAUUAAGAUUAAAUUCUCCAAUUCUAGUCAUUCUAGUCAUAUUUUUUUUAAUUCUCCAAUUCUAGUCAAUUUAGUCAUAAGUAUUUUGUCGUGUAUUUAUCGUGUAUUUAUUCUAGUCAUUUACAUUUAGGGAUUAUCUACCGGGAACAAAUUUUGCAAAUUACCAAAAUUUCGUCCAGGAAACACUACAACCGGGGGGGGGGGGGUGGGGUUUACCCCCACGGUGCUCAAGUGGAAUUAGACAAACUCAUCACAAAAAACAAGUGGAAAAAAAGAGAGAAUACGUAUCCCAAAGGAUACCAACAUGCAUGUACACUGCUGGUGUUCCUCCAAAAUGGAUUAAAAUACAACAUCACCAUCAUAAAUUCGAUAAAGGACUACGCCGUCACAGAUGCUUAUAUGAAAAUGUUUGAAACCCUCUAUCGUAGCGAAAAAGUUACUGGAUACAUUUUCCGCCAAAAGGAAGAAAUUCCAGUUGCUGCUGAGCAGCUACCUGUCAGUUCUUUCACAGCAACAAAUGGUGUUGAAUAUUCAAGUAGCGACGUACGCUACAAGAACCGACCAAUGGAGGGAUAUGUAGUGUUUUUUCAGGGCGCCACAGACAAAAUGUAAAGUUUCAAGAAAUCGGCCGAGUCAGAAGAGGCAAGAAAAAAAGAAGACAAGAAAAAGAUUGAAAUCAAUGAUUAAAGGCAGCAGUUUGAUCUUUUGGGAGUUCAACAGUCCAAAAUCAAAAGUGAGAUAGCGAAACUUCAAGAAGAGAAGAUGAAAUCUGUUGCGUUGUCCAAAUUGAAUUAGACAAGAUCACCAAGAAAAAAUUCUGGGUUAAAAAAGAGUAUACUUAUCCUAAGGGAAAUGAGUAUGCUUGUACAUUGCUGGUGUAUUUACCAGGCUUAAAACACAAGGUCACAAUAAUUGAUUGCAUUAAGGACUACGCUAUCACGGAUGCCUACCAAAAGAUGUUUGAACUCCUUUAUCGACGUGGAAAAGUUACUCGUUUCAUUUUUCGCGAGAAGUUACAACUUCCUGUUAAUUCUACAAGUUGCACAGCAACAAAUGGUUAAUAAAGCACACAGAAAAAGAAAUUUGUACUUGCAGACGUUGUAAGAAAGACUUCAAAGCAAAAAAUGAAUUACGCUUGCACAAUGAAGAGAUGCACCAAUCAUUUUCCUGUGAAUUUUGCCAUUCAAUGUUUAUGGGUUCAGGCGGCCUGGAGAAACAUCUUCAAAAGGGAGAGCAAAGAAACGAUGUGUGCCCAAAGAAAAACUUAUAGAAAAAUGUGAAGCUAAAUUGAACUGCAAGUCCCGUAUAUGAAUAAAGCAAACCCAUAUUUCCUAUUCUUCCCAUUCUUCCCUCGGACGAAUUACUCUGUGGAUUAUUCCCCGAAAAACGUAAACAACACUUUUCCAAGAUUGUUUUUAAGUAAACUGGAAUUCAGAAAAAAAGACAAAUACAUUACAAAAUUUC